Non-coding RNA from Pelodiscus sinensis (Chinese soft-shelled turtle), 1279 nucleotides. The record is from RefSeq and is a predicted model, not a curated record. NCBI's taxonomy places the organism in Eukaryota, Metazoa, Chordata, Testudines, Trionychidae.
UGUCUAUCAAAACAUCAUGUGAUAAUGAGACCCAAAGGGGGCAACUGGAUUGCAUCUUUCCUGGGUGCUGUGACUGAACUUUUGGGUGACAUCAAUGUGUUUACUGCCUCUUCUCUGUUGCAGGAUGCGAUUGAAUCCCUAUGGGGGAGAGAGAAUUGUGAUUUAACUUCUCAAAAAUGUGUCUGGGAGAAGUGAAGAGUCUGAUUUCAGAGAAGUUCUCUAUAUCUUCCUAUUAAAACACCAAUUGCCUUAACUAGUUUAAUAAUAAUAGUUAGCACUUACACUGUGCUUUUCAUCUGCAGUGCUUUAUGCACAUUAAGCCUUACUUUAUUCCCAUGGAGUAGGUGUAGUAGCCAUCUCUCCUCUCAUUUGGCAGAUGAGAAAAUGGAGACAGAGCAGGUAAAUGAAUUGCCCAGGUCCAUAGAUGAAGAUGAUACUUGUGGUCAGAAGUUCUCUGCUGCUACGUUUAUGCUCAGACCACAAAGAGGACCCUGAUUGCACAUCUCUGCAAUGUUGUAUGGGUUCAAUCAUCAGAAAUGGCAAAUUAUUUCAAGAAAGACUGAUUCUCACAGUGUUCACAUCCUGGCUGGCACCGCUAGACAUCUGAGAAGGAGGAAGACAUCUUACAUGACUUUAGCAGAUGCAAAAGGUUUGGCGGGUAUGAGAAAAAAACUACAACAUAAAAAAUGCAACUAGGAGAUUACUGAUUAAAAGUGAAGAGUACAAGACUGGAACAACUGUUAGGCGAGGCAAUUGCUGAAGAUAAUUCAAGGCAAGCUAGAGUUCCCUGGGCGCACAUGAAGUACAAAGUGUUCUCAGUGCAAAGCCACAUAAGUCACCUGAUCGCUGAAUUAGAUUUAUGCAGCAAAAAUGCCAAUUGUUUGCAAAUGUCCUGAUUUGAAAAAAUAAAGGUUCAAACCUUAUUUUAUUAUUUUACUGAGAGAUUCAAAUGGACUGCAGUUAUAGGCAGCCUUGCAACCCAUGUAAAUGUCUACAUGUAAGUCCAUUACAUUGUGUUACAUUUUAUGUCAUUCAAGUAUCCAAGAGAAGGGGAACAUUUAAGGCCUGGUCUUAGGAGGUGCCGACAUGCCUCAUUCCCUAGUAAACUCAAAAUCUUGUGGAAUUGUGUCCUUAAUUUGCCUGCAAAGUAUUUCUUCAAAGUGAGUUUUAAAAUGGCAAAACAAUGUUAUCCAGCACUCUAACAAUUAAGCUCCCCUUGGUGACUUAACUGUGCUGUACCUAUGAAAUAAAGCAUAUGAAUAUAUGGGACCUUAUGACA